RNAcentral lists this ribosomal RNA (469 nucleotides) under uncultured bacterium. RNAcentral's name for it is "partial 16S ribosomal RNA". It matches the Rfam family "Bacterial small subunit ribosomal RNA", at positions 28 to 507 of the family's 1533-position model. The record is from RNAcentral.
GACGAACGCUGGCGGCGUGCUUAACACAUGCAAGUCGAACGGAAAGGCCCUGCUUGCAGGGUGCUCGAGUGGCGAACGGGUGAGUAACACGUGGGUGAACUGCCCCUUACUUUGGGAUAAGCCUGGGAAACUGGGUCUAAUACUGGAUAGGACCAUGCUGUAGGGGGUGUGGUGGAAAGAUUAGUUUCGGUAAGGGAUGAGCUCGCGGCCUAUCAGCUUGUUGGUGGGGUACUGGCCUACCAAGGCGUCGACGGGUAGCCGGCCUGAGAGGGUGGACGGCCAGGUUGAGACUGAGAUGGGGCCCAGCAGCCUACGAGAGGCAGCAGUGGGGAAUAUUGCACAAUAGGCGCAAGCCUGAUGCGGCGACGCCGCGUGGGGGAUGACGGCCUUCGGGUUGUAAACUCCUUUCGGCCAUGACGAAGCCCUUGUGGUGACGGUAGUGGUAGAAGAAGCACCGGCUAACUACGUG